UACAGAGGGUGCGAGCGUUGUCCGGAAUCACUGGGCGUAAAGGGCGCGUAGGCGGUGACUUAAGCGUGUGGUGAAAGCUCGGGGCUCAACCCCGAGUCGGCCGUGCGAACUGGGUCACUGGAGCAUGUCAGAGGCAGGCGGAAUUCCGGGUGUAGCGGUGAAAUGCGCAGAUAUCAGGAGGAACACCGGUGGCGAAGGCGGAUCUCUGGGCCUUACCUGACGCUGAGGCGCGAAAGCUAGGGGAGCGAACAGG
This 253-nucleotide ribosomal RNA is filed under the name uncultured bacterium. Its description in RNAcentral is "partial 16S ribosomal RNA". It matches the Rfam family "Bacterial small subunit ribosomal RNA", at positions 524 to 776 of the family's 1533-position model. The record is from RNAcentral.